GAAGGUAUAGCUCAGUGGCAGAGCAUAUGCUUAGCAUGCACAAGGUCCUGGGUUCAGUCCCCAGGAUCUUCA
RNAcentral lists this transfer RNA (72 nucleotides) under Camelus bactrianus (Bactrian camel). It matches the Rfam family "tRNA". From Rfam's summary of the family: Transfer RNA (tRNA) molecules are approximately 80 nucleotides in length. Their secondary structure includes four short double-helical elements and three loops (D, anti-codon, and T loops). Further hydrogen bonds mediate the characteristic L-shaped molecular structure. tRNAs have two regions of fundamental functional importance: the anti-codon, which is responsible for specific mRNA codon recognition, and the 3' end, to which the tRNAs corresponding amino acid is attached (by aminoacyl-tRNA synthetases). tRNAs cope with the degeneracy of the genetic code in two manners: having more than one tRNA (with a specific anti-codon) for a particular amino acid; and 'wobble' base-pairing, i.e. permitting non-standard base-pairing at the 3rd anti-codon position. The record is from Rfam by way of RNAcentral. Lineage: Eukaryota; Metazoa; Chordata; Mammalia; Artiodactyla; Camelidae. RNAcentral also lists the same sequence under 2 other names.